RNAcentral lists this long non-coding RNA (1594 nucleotides) under Paramuricea clavata. The record is from RNAcentral. Lineage: Eukaryota; Metazoa; Cnidaria; Anthozoa; Malacalcyonacea; Plexauridae.
GUAAUGUGACUAUCAAUCAACAUUUCCUUAGAUUCACUCCCUAUUGGUAGUGUUCCAUCUGAUAUGACAGUUGAGUAUGAAAAUGAUAUUUGGACACAUGAAAUAAUAUCGCCUGAUUUACAGUAGGCCCUUCCAGUGAUAACAUUGAAGACAAAGUUAAUGUACAAUGUGACAACAGAAAUGAAUAGCUUAUGCCAGCCUGUGAAAAACAGUAAAGAGAAGUAGAUGCAAUAAAAAAUCAGUUGUUUCCAAAUGAUGGCAUCCGGCCCACUUUUGAUAACUACCCUAUGAUGCAAUAAUAACAUUUUGGACAACGUCUACUCUACACCGAACCUCUGUGACCGAACGCACUUCACUAAUCUAAGAUUAUUACUAGUUAUAUUAUUGAUUAACUCCAUUACAAGCAAUUAAUUAAAAUUGUUUAAUUUAUAUAUAUAAAUAUCUAAUUUAUAUGUAUAAAUGGAAUGGAAAGUCGCACAAUAUACCUUAAGGUAGAAAGGUUAGUUUUUCAAGCUAGGGAAACCGGAGUACCCGGGGAAAACCUAGAACCAACCACAAUUCUACUUACAUUAAUUUUCAAGAACAAUAACAUAGCCUUGACCUGAGCAGCGGAUAAGGGGCCGCAAGGCGCUAUAACGACCUCUAUUACUUGUUAUUUAAAUAACGACCUCUAUUACCUGUUAUUUAAAUUACGUGAAAAAUAAGCACGUCAUUAAAAACGCUACAAAUAAACAAUAAAACGUUUCACCGCAGCCGCAUAAAUAAGCCAACUAAAUAAAAAUCACAGCGGUAGCAAAAAUUGCAGCGGACUUGUCAGCCAAUAGUCAAUUAAAGGGCAUAUGACUCGAAAAUUGACGGUGUUAUUUUUUAGUCUAAUUUGAAAGAUCAUUGAAAACUUGCACACAUGCAUAAUGACUUACUUUAAAAUGUUAUAUAAUUUUGUCACUAUCAAAUAAAUUCGCUCAAAAUGAAUGAUGAGCACGAGAUUUGUCCACAACAACACCCAUGUAGGUUCUCUACUGAUUGUGUUUAGUCGUAUGAAAGAUAUACAGUUUUUAGGGCUAAAUCAUUAUGCAUAUGUGACGUAGAAAGUUGGUCCUUUGCAUAUCAUACAAAAUGAAAUAUCUUCAAACGAGGCAAGAAAACAAAAUCUAUCAAAGAAGUUACUUCUACAGUUUUCAAUGAUCUUUCACAUUAGACAAAGAAAUAACACCGUCAAUUUUCGAGUCAUAUGCCAUGGUCUAGAAACUUGCCAAACUUGAAAGCGUCUAUUAUUGUCUAUGUAGUAUUUAGUAUAAACCUACUAGUAGGCUAUCACAUAUCGUGGCUUCUGAUUGGCUACGCUACUAGUGGGCUAUUAGUGAUAGCCUACUAAUAGAAAAUUCAAAAUGGCGGAAAAUUCGCAUUUUGCACUUUUGCCGAAGUGUCUGAUGAUUUUUUUGGACGACUUGUUGAACAAUUCUGUACUAAAAAACCCCGAAAAAGCAACAAAAAUAUGGAAUGGCAAUUUUUAAGGGUAAGAAAAUAGACAAAAUAACAUACACUCAAUGAAAUUUUAAAAUUAAAACUGAAUUUUGUAAAACAUUUUACGCGA